RNAcentral lists this transfer RNA (66 nucleotides) under Psettina iijimae. RNAcentral describes it as "tRNA-Cys". The record is from RNAcentral. Lineage: Eukaryota; Metazoa; Chordata; Actinopteri; Pleuronectiformes; Bothidae.
AGCUCUGGGGUGUAAUCAUGUUAGAUUGCAAAUCUAAAGAAGCAGAUGAAUAGUCUGCCGGAGCUU